Molecule: long non-coding RNA, 692 nt
Organism: Scleropages formosus (Asian bonytongue)
Lineage: Eukaryota; Metazoa; Chordata; Actinopteri; Osteoglossiformes; Osteoglossidae
Exons: 2
Source: RefSeq, a predicted model, not a curated record
UGACGCAGGAAGUCAAAUUUUGUCACCGCGCGCUCGCAUAGUUGCGCUGUUCGGCAUCUCUGGCUUGAGCACAAGGACCCAGCGGAACGCAACCGUGUGGCUCGGCUGUGACCUCGGCAAAGUCACGAGCAACACGGGCGCCUCGCGGUAAUGCGCGAGAGCUCCAUUUUCGUGUGAAGCGAGAGAAAUAUCAACGCGCUGAACUAUAUUUUCGUAAAGUUUGGCGUUUGGUUGUAAAGGGGGUGGAACAAUGACGUUCCCUUUCUUUACCCGUGUGGUCAGCGCCUUUGGCAGACAGUUGUGUGAUUUGACGAGGCAUGCUGCCAGCCCGUCCCCCGCUGGGUCCAGUGCCUACAGGUGUCUGUUCACCGUUGCCGGCAGCGCAACAUUCCCACGCCUCAUGUUUGGAAACGUGUUGCGGACUUUUCCGCAGCUCCCCAGGCCGUGUCAUUCGCCAGUCCUCGCUGUGCAGCCCGCCCUGGGGAUGAAGACGAAGACUGCGCUGAAAAGACGCUGCAAGGACUGCUUCUUUGUUCGCCGGAGGGGGCGCUUGUUCGUUUACUGCAAGACCAACCCGAGGCACAAGCAACGCCAGGGCUGACCUGGCAAUCUGAGGAAACCUGUGAACAUUUUGACAACGCACCACAGUUAUGAAUUUCAUCUGUCUCACAAUAAAAGCAAACCAAAAAGAA